GACGAACGCUGGCGGCGUGCUUAACACAUGCAAGUCGAACGGAAAGGCCCUGCUUGCAGGGUACUCGAGUGGCGAACGGGUGAGUAACACGUGGGUGAUCUGCCCUGCACUUCGGGAUAAGCCUGGGAAACUGGGUCUAAUACCGGAUAGGAGCCAUUUUUAGUGUGAUGGUUGGAAAGUUUUUUCGGUGUAGGAUGAGCUCGCGGCCUAUCAGCUUGUUGGUGGGGUAAUGGCCUACCAAGGCGGCGACGGGUAGCCGGCCUGAGAGGGUGGACGGCCACAUUGGGACUGAGAUACGGCCCAGACGCCUACGGGAGGAAGCAGUGGGGAAUAUUGAACAAUGGGCGCAAGCCUGAUGCAGCGACGCCGCGUGGGGGAUGACGGCCUUCGGGUUGUCAACUCCUUUCGCUAGGGACGAAGCUUUUUGUGACGGUACCUAGAUAAGAAGCACCGGCUAACUACGUG
This 465-nucleotide ribosomal RNA is filed under the name uncultured bacterium. Its description in RNAcentral is "partial 16S ribosomal RNA". It matches the Rfam family "Bacterial small subunit ribosomal RNA", at positions 28 to 507 of the family's 1533-position model. The record is from RNAcentral.